Long non-coding RNA from Etheostoma cragini (Arkansas darter), 75 nucleotides. RefSeq lists it as uncharacterized. Lineage: Eukaryota; Metazoa; Chordata; Actinopteri; Perciformes; Percidae. The record is from RefSeq and is a predicted model, not a curated record. The transcript is spliced from 4 exons.
UGUCAUGUUUUGUCCAUGGGAGCGUGCCUAUGUUCCCGCAUUUCCUCUUCAUCAAUUUGUAUCAGAUUUUAUUCC